UAUUGGUUGGCCAAAAAGUUCAUUUGGGUUUUUCCAUAACAUCAUGCAGGAGAACCUGAAUGAACUUUUUGGCCAACCCCA
Molecule: microRNA precursor, 81 nt
Filed under: Ovis aries (sheep)
Lineage: Eukaryota; Metazoa; Chordata; Mammalia; Artiodactyla; Bovidae
Description: miRNA (ENSOARG00000021829.1)
Source: RNAcentral